RNAcentral lists this ribosomal RNA (224 nucleotides) under uncultured bacterium. RNAcentral's name for it is "partial 16S ribosomal RNA". It matches the Rfam family "Bacterial small subunit ribosomal RNA", at positions 108 to 334 of the family's 1533-position model. The record is from RNAcentral.
GAGUAAUAUAUAGUUAAUGUGCCUCGAAGACCGGGAUAGCCAUUGAAGCGAUGAUUAAUACUGGAUAUACCUACUAAUCAUAAGUUUAGUAGGGAAACGUUUUUUCGCUUCGAGAUCAGACUAUAUCCCAUCAGUUAGUUGGUAGUGUAAGAGACUACCAAGGCAAUGACGGGUAGCGGGUUUGAGAGGAUGAUCCGCCACACUGGUACUGAGACACGGCCCAG